GAUAGCUGGUUCUCCCCGAAAUAGCUUUAGGGCUAGCGUCGGAAAGAACCUUAGUGAAGGUAGAGCACUGAAUGUGUGAUGGCCCCAUCCCGGGGUACUGAAUACAAUCAAACUGCGAAUGUCAUUAAGGAUGUCCGGCAGUCAGACUGUGAGUGAUAAGGUCCAUGGUCAAGAGGGAAACAGCCCAGACCGCCAGUUAAGGUCCCAAAAUACAGGCUAAGUGGAAAAGGAUGUGGGGAUGCCCAGACAACUAGGAGGUUGGCUCAGAAGCAGCCAUCCUUUAAAGAGUGCGUAACAGCUCACUAGUCGAGUGACCCUGCGCCGAAAAUGUACCGGGGCUAAGCCUGAUACCGAAACUGCGGAUUGUAGGAAACUAUAGUGGUAGGGGAGCGUUGUAUACGAGCAGAAGCCGUACCGUGAGGAGCGGUGGAUUGUAUAGAAGUGAGAAUGCCGGUGUGAGUAGCGAGAUGUAGGUGAGAAUCCUACACACCGAAAGCCCAAGGAUUCCAGGGGAAGGUUCGUCCGCCCUGGGUAAGUCGGGACCUAACGCGAGGCCGAAAGGCGUAGUGGAUGGAAAGCAGGCGAAAGAUUCCUGCACCCGUAUAUGGAGCGAAGGAGUGACGGAGACGGAUAGUGUGACCCUCUUAAUGGAUUGAGGGCGAAGCGAAGCGGCUGGUUACCAGGCAAAUCCGGUAACCAAAAGGCUAGAGCGUGACAGGUAAGCGAAAUCUUCGGAAAGUAGCGAAGCACAUGAUGACGGCUUCCAGGAAAAGCUUCUGGCAAUGCAUAUGCGGCCCGUACCAAAACCGACACAGGUGGGCAGGGAGAGAAUCCCGAGGUGAGCGAGAGAACUGUUGCCAAGGAACUCGGCAAAAUGACUCCGUAAGUUAGCGAGAAGGAGUGCUUAAGCAAUUAAGCCGCAGUGAAGAGGCCCAAGCGACUGUUUAACUAAAACACAGCUCUCUGCGAAGUCGCAAGACGAAGUAUAGGGGGUGACACCUGCCCGGUGCUGGAAGGUUAAGAGGAUCUGUUAAGAGCGAUCUGAAGCAGUGAUCCGAAGCCCCAGUGAACGGCGGCCGUAACUAUAACGGUCCUAAGGUAGCGAAAUUCCUUGUCAGGUAAGUUCUGACCCGCACGAAAGGUGUAACGAUUUGGGCGCUGUCUCGGCAGCAGACUCGGUGAAAUCUUAGUACCUGUGAAAAUGCAGGUUACCCGCAACUAGACGGAAAGACCCCAUGGAGCUUUACUGCAGCCUGAUAUUGAAUUCUGGUCAUACAUGUACAGGAUAGGUGGGAGACAAAGAGACGUGCACGCCAGUGUACGAGGAGUCGACGUUGGGAUACCACUCUUGUGUGACCGGGGUUCUAACCUGGUAUCGAGAACAGGUACGGGGAGAGUGUCAGGUGGGCAGUUUGACUGGGGCGGUCGCCUCCCAAAGAGUAACGGAGGCGCCCAAAGGUACGCUCAGAUUGGAUGGAAACCAAUCGUCGAGUGCAAUUGCAGAAGCGUGCUUGACUGUGAGACAGACAAGUCGAACAGGGACGAAAGUCGGGAAUAGUGAUCCGGCGGUGCCGAAUGGAAGGGCCGUCGCUCAACGGAUAAAAGCUACCCUGGGGAUAACAGGCUGAUCUCGCCCAAGAGUUCACAUCGACGGCGAGGUUUGGCACCUCGAUGUCGGCUCAUCGCAUCCUGGAGCUGGAUUCGGUUCCAAGGGUUGGGCUGUCCGCCCAUUAAAGCGGUACGCGAGCUGGGUUCAGAACGUCGUGAGACAGUUCGGUCCCUAUCUGUUGUGGGCGAAGGAGAUCUGCGGAGAGCUGUCCUCAGUACGAGAGGACCGGGAUGGACCUACCGCUGGUGCACCGGUUGUUCCGCCAGGGGCAUAGCCGGGUAGCUAAGUAGGGAAAGGAUAAGCGCUGAAAGCAUCUAAGCACGAAGCCUACUCCAAGAUGAGAUCUCCCAUUCG
Molecule: ribosomal RNA, 1963 nt
Filed under: human gut metagenome
Description: bacterial LSU rRNA
Rfam family: Bacterial large subunit ribosomal RNA
Source: RNAcentral